GAGUCUACCAUGGGUUAAGCGCUGUUCUAGGAGCUAGGGUUAUAGUGGCAAACACAUGACGUAAGAGACUGGGACUUGAUAUAAAAUCUUCUGGAUGAUGUAAACAUUUUGAGAUUUUUCAGCAAGACAAUAAUCAUACAAGCCCCAUGAACCCGGAGGAACAGGCACAUCAAUCCUACUCUAGCACCGAAAACUCCAAGCAAGAGCAUUUCCUAGGUUCCUGCCAUGAACUCCAGCCGCAGAUCCUUCAUUAUAAGCCUAGCUCCUCCACACAGUCAGGGCUGGCGCCACCUUGAGCUCAGCCCGUCCCCCUCUGAUGCCUUAAUAAAUUUCUUGCCUUACCAACGUGGCCUUGCACGUUCCGCCCUCAGCAAACUUAACAGUAACGACCAGCCUACUAACUGCUUCUUUUCUCUACAGCCAAGCCCUGUCCUAUGGGGGAGUCAAAGUAGCAGGGCUGAGUAAGAAACCACCAGGAUUAUAAGAUGUGGUUGGAGCAGGAGGAACGUUCUUUCACUUCUACUUAAACUACAACACGUUCAGAUAUUCCAGAGAAGAAAUUUUUGUUCUCAACUCUGCAAUAGGCUAACAGUUCUAAAAUUAGCAGCCGUCGAUCCAAUUUGGAAAUAGGAGAGUGAAGGUAACAGAAUGGAACAAAGGGACAUGCAGAGUUGGAUAUCGCCUGGAGGAUCUCAGAGGAGGGUGGAUGUUUCUUCGGACAUUAGAUGACCAUACCUACUAGUGUAAUAGCAACCUCGCCAAGGAGAAACUUGCAUGCAGUCUAGCAUCACUGGCGCAUAGGGUGUUCAGACCUGUGUUUCUGGUGUGAAGGUUGCACCAACACCUCAGCUCUGUGGGCAGAAGCACCACACAUGACACUCAGUCCAAGAUGGCAGCACGGGGGCUGAGAGCAGAGAGGCCGUACAGGGCACUGGAUCUGAAGCAAAAGGGGCACAGCUGGGCCACCCCCGAGAACCCUGCCCCUUCCUCGAGGUUCCUAGAAAGCAGUCCUGGCCGUGGCCUAGCAGGAAAGGUGUGUCCUCUAGAGCCUGAGCUUGAGCUUCUGCAUUCAUUGAUCAAAGAACAGAAUUUUCCAUCCUGGUUUAUCCCAAUGGAUAUGAUUUCCUGUGCUAUACGGUGGGACCUUGUUGUCUAUCCAUUCUAAAUGGAAGAGUUUGCAUUUACUAGCCCCAAACUCCGUAACAUAAGGGAAUAUAUAAAUGAGACUGUAUAUAUGCAUAUAACUAAGUCACUUUGCUGUAUAGCAGAAAUGAGCACAAUAUUAUACAUCAACUCUACUUUAAUACCUUUUUUUUUUUUUUUAAAGAACAGAGCUUUUCUUUGCUUCUGACCCAAACUCGGUCUUAUUCUAUUGGCUCCAACAACACUGGGCAGGAGGACCAGAGUUGGGGACAGACUUGGGAGGGUCAGUAACAUUGGGAGCUCACAUAUGGCUGAUUUGGGGAAUCCUAAGUUCUGAGUUCAGGGUACAUUCUUCAGAGAAGACCUGUAUUUGCUAACACCAGAGGCUCCAAGACAUUGCCAACCUGACACCUCUUUACAUGUUUGAUGUUUCCUGGAUGCUGUAGGUAGUAGGAUUUGAAACCCGUAUCCAAGUGAAAGGGUCAUAGUUAAAACUUCUCAGGUUGAGAGUUCCUAGUUUUUAUAUUACUGUUCUACCCAAAACAGGAGUCAGAAUACAAAGUUUCCUGGUUUUCUUGCUUUUACCAGGAGUGAUUUUUUUUUCCCCUUCUACUUCACCAUUUUAAUGAGGGUGUGGUCUUCUGAGUGCACCGGUGUAUGCUGGGGCCUGGGUUCCAGUUCCGCUUUGCUCAGGUUUAAGGCCUUCCUUAUUCCAAAACGGUCAUUACCACCCAAGGUUCUUUUCACUACAUUUUAGAUUUUUUUUUGGGGGGGGGGAUAGUUAAUGCUGCAGUAUGUACUAUAUCAUUGAAAGGAACUAAAGUCUUUGACAGUGGAUUUAGCUCCUGGACCAUUUCAUAUUAAAUAUGUAAAGAAACCAGGAAUUAUGACUUAAGAACCAUAUAAAGUGUGGUAAUAAUUUUCCUGGCAUUUUUUUGAUAAAGAACAAAAAUACAAGAUAGUUGAUGUAUGAUAAAAAUUGAUGUAUAUAACGAAAUUCUGAGAAGAGUUAUAUUUUAGGAUAAUAGUUAUAAUAUUUAUUCUAACAUAAUAGCUGCAAGACAAAUAGUGCAACUUGGUACUUACUAAUGAAUAUCAUCACUCAGAUUGAAGUGUUCAGUUAGCACCCUAAAAAAUGUAUUUUUCUAAUAUACUGUUAAAGGAAAUUGGCUUUGGUCCAUGUGUGUGUAUGUCUAUAUUGAGAGUAAUUCGUAGUAGAACUGUUUAAACCAUGUGAAGCCAACACACAUCUUCCUUGAAAAGAAUUCCACAAAAAAGGAGCUGACUGCCCCUUAAAAGUCAUUUAGUACAAGCUCCAUUUAACGUCAAAUUUGUGGUGUUUCGUAUUACUUCCAUCAUUACCAACAGGUAAAGCAUACGGUACUUUUUAGAUGGUAACCUUAUUUUUUGCAGAUUGCUAAGAAAUGGAGGAAAAACAGCCACGUUUAAUGUAAAUAUUCUAGGCGUGCUCCAUCAUUCCUAGGAUAGAGUCCAGCAGUAGAUUAAUCAGAACAUCUCCUAAAGAUACCUAGUUUAGAUUUACUUUGGGGAACCACAAACUCAUUCAUACUGAGCCAAAGGGAAACUGGGAACAGACAGUCCCAGGAGCCAGCUUCUCUAUUUCAGUAUUUGUAGAUCCCCCCCGGGGGUUAUGGGGAAUCCUAACACAGUCUGGGGAAAAGCUCCUUCUCCGUAAACAUGAAAGCUGAAACACGUGUAGACUUUCGAAGGGCUUAUUAAUAAACGAAAGCUAGGGAAUUAUAAUAAUGAUAGUGGUCCUUAAAGAAACAAGAUCUAGGAGUUCUGUGGCUCAGGCAGCGUUGUCACUGCAGUGACUUGGGUCACUGGGUUUGUGGGUUUGAUCCCUGGCCCCGGAACUUCCAUGUGCCACCAGAAUGGCCAAAAAAGAAGAAAGAAAGGAAGGAAGGAAGGAAGGAGGAAAGGAAGGAAGGAAGGAAAAAGAAAGAAGGGUGUAGUUUCCUGCUAUUCAGAUACUUUGAGGUCAGGCAGGCCUUGUAGCUAAUCUGAAUUUUUACAUAUUAGCCUCUUCUUUACGUAAGAUCCUUAGGUAUUCUCUUACUUUUGUGUGAUUUCGGGUACACAUUUUAAGUAAUUUUUUUUUUUAAGUGAAAUUUAUCUGGCAUCUAGGUGUUCUGAGCAUAAGGAUUUAAAAAUACCUGUCUACCCUCUUGUUAGAAGUAGACUAUUUUAGCUAUCUUGUAUCCCUUAUUUUUGAUUCUUAGUAGGUAACUGUGAUGUUUUUGUUAAAUGAAUUAAUAAGCACAUCCAUCAAAUCACUAGAACAACGAAAGUGAGAGAGAUAUUAUCAGCUUUGUUUCUGAGCAAUAAUUUAUCUCAAAUAUGUGUGUUUUAUCAGCUGAUCUUUUCGUUCAUUGUAUGAAUUGGAAUUUCAAAAAAAACAACGUAAGAGAAAACAGUUCCAUGUGCCCUUUUAAUUUUCUUUCCAAGGCAAACUUAGAUAAUGUAAUUACCUAAUGUGUUUGUAACUUGGUCCUUUUUCCAGAGGGCUUUUCUUUGCCUUAGCAAACAAAUAACAACAGCAACAAAAAACCCUCUAAACCCUCUAAAUCCUCUAUUUUUUCCCAGAGCUUCUAUGAUAUAUCUGCAGGCUAAGUAAAUAUGAAAAGCUUUGCAGAUAAACGUUUGAAAAUGAACUUUAUAUCAUUUCUAAAAUCUGGCAAGGGAAAUUAUCUCCAAAUGUAUCAGUCUCAUUGACUUGGCAGUUUUAUUAAACUUAAACACCUUUUCAAUAUUUUCAUUGCUGAGGAGUGCAUAUUACCAUAAGGUAAAGACUCAGCCAUCCAGAGCUUGACAGAUAAAUAUAUAAUUUUCAUAAAGGUCUUGUAGUCCUUAGACACUGGUUGAGCAAAAACACAGAAUUAAAUAGCACUGUCAGCAUGAAUCUAUCAGUGACAAGGAGAAUUAACAGCUGGUGACGUGCUCUGGAGGGAGGAGCUUGGGCCCUUAUGCAAGAGCAAAGGAUAUUUUAAAAUUACACUGUUUUAAAUCUAGAGUUUAAUAUAGAAUUUAAAACUAUUGGUAGGAUUGAUUCCCCGCCACUCCUAGAAAAGUAGGGAAUAGAUUAUUCUGAGAAAAGAACCCUUGUCUUUUUUUGUGUUCUGUUGCGUUCCUAGUACCUAAGGAAUUCUUGGCACAUAGUAGGUGCCCAAUAUGUGUUUGCUGAAAAAUGAUGGGAUGAAUACACAAAUGGGACAGGACAAUAAAGCUAUCAUAGCUCUACAUACAGUUCUGAUUCUCAGCAAGAGCCUUUCUGUGAGUCCAAACUCUGCUUACUUAUAGCUUAACAGAAGUCUGAGAGUCUGUCAGAGAAAAAAUAACAAUCAUGUCACUUUCAUUCCAAAUAUGUUCUUAAAAAAUACUUAUAUAGAUACCCAGAAUAGAUAAAUGUCAGGUUAAUUAAAAAAAUCAGAUAUGAAAAUGUAACAUAAAAGGUUUGGUAAUAUUUAUUUUUUUCUAAAAAAUCCUAACAACUGCAAUGGCACGAUCAACUUGUAAAUUGCCAUUCAAACUUAUCAUGGUAAGUAAGGGCAGUAGGAAACAAUAUAUUCAUUCAAAAUUUUUAAAAGUCCUACACAUAAAUUAAAUGAAUCAAAGAUAGUAGUAGAGGCCAGAGUUUAGGGUAUUUUAGAGGCACAUCCAGAAAGUAUUAAGGAAAUCAGAAUUUGGGGGUUAUGUUUAUUUCUGUUCUGGAAACAGUAUUUCAUAACAGUAAAAUAAUUACUAUUUAUUUUA
This 4917-nucleotide long non-coding RNA is filed under the name Sus scrofa (pig). Its description in RNAcentral is "lncRNA (ENSSSCG00060031777.1)". The record is from RNAcentral. Lineage: Eukaryota; Metazoa; Chordata; Mammalia; Artiodactyla; Suidae.